CCUACGGGGUGCUGCAGUGGGGAAUAUUGGACAAUGGGCGAAAGCCUGAUCCAGCCAUGCCGCGUGUGUGAAGAAGGCCUUCGGGUUGUAAAGCACUUUCAGUGGGGUAGAAAGCCUUGGGGCUAAUACCCUCGAGGAAGGACAUCACCCACAGAAGAAGCACCGGCUAACUCCGUGCCAGCAGCCGCGGUAAUACGGAGGGUGCGAGCGUUAAUCGGAAUUACUGGGCGUAAAGCGCGCGUAGGCGGUCUGAUAAGCCGGUUGUGAAAGCCCCGGGCUCAACCUGGGAACGGCAUCCGGAACUGUCAGGCUAGAGUGCAGGAGAGGAAGGUAGAAUUCCCGGUGUAGCGGUGAAAUGCGUAGAGAUCGGGAGGAAUACCAGUGGCGAAGGCGGCCUUCUGGACUGACACUGACGCUGAGGUGCGAAAGCGUGGGUAGCAAACAGGAUUAGAUACCCUGGUAGUC
Molecule: ribosomal RNA, 465 nt
Filed under: Vreelandella stevensii
Lineage: Bacteria; Pseudomonadati; Pseudomonadota; Gammaproteobacteria; Oceanospirillales; Halomonadaceae
Description: partial 16S ribosomal RNA
Rfam family: Bacterial small subunit ribosomal RNA
Source: RNAcentral